GGGCGUGGCGGGUCUUACCAUGCAGUCGACGAUGAACCACUUCGGUGGGGAUUAGUGGCGAACGGGUGAGUAACACGUGGGCAAUCUGCCCUGCACUCUGGGACAAGCCCUGGAAACGGGGUCUAAUACCGGAUACUGAUCCUCGCAGGCAUCUGCGAGGUUCGAAAGCUCCGGCGGUGCAGGAUGAGCCCGCGGCCUAUCAGCUAGUUGGUGAGGUAACGGCUCACCAAGGCGACGACGGGUAGCCGGCCUGAGAGGGCGACCGGCCACACUGGGACUGAGACACGGCCCAGACUCCUACGGGAGGCAGCAGUGGGGAAUAUUGCACAAUGGGCGAAAGCCUGAUGCAGCGACGCCGCGUGAGGGAUGACGGCCUUCGGGUUGUAAACCUCUUUCAGCAGGGAAGAAGCGAAAGUGACGGUACCUGCAGAAGAAGCGCCGGCUAACUACGUGCCAGCAGCCGCGGUAAUACGUAGGGCGCAAGCGUUGUCCGGAAUUAUUGGGCGUAAAGAGCUCGUAGGCGGCUUGUCACGUCGGUUGUGAAAGCCCGGGGCUUAACCCCGGGUCUGCAGUCGAUACGGGCAGGCUAGAGUUCGGUAGGGGAGAUCGGAAUUCCUGGUGUAGCGGUGAAAUGCGCAGAUAUCAGGAGGAACACCGGUGGCGAAGGCGGAUCUCUGGGCCGAUACUGACGCUGAGGAGCGAAAGCGUGGGGAGCGAACAGGAUUAGUCCCC
RNAcentral lists this ribosomal RNA (732 nucleotides) under Streptomyces sp. enrichment culture clone BB_XS-4. RNAcentral describes it as "bacterial SSU rRNA". It matches the Rfam family "Bacterial small subunit ribosomal RNA", at positions 35 to 786 of the family's 1533-position model. Lineage: Bacteria; Bacillati; Actinomycetota; Actinomycetes; Kitasatosporales; Streptomycetaceae. The record is from RNAcentral.